UAAUAAGUGUUUUAUGGCACUUUUUAAAUCCAUAUCCACCUUGUGUGCAAUGUCAGUCGAUCUUCUUUCUUGAGAUCGACCAAACAUCAACCUUUAUUUUUAACUCUUUGUCUGAAAAAUAUUAUGAAUAAACAAUUCAAAAUA
This 144-nucleotide unclassified non-coding RNA is filed under the name soil metagenome. RNAcentral describes it as "partial internal transcribed spacer 1". The record is from RNAcentral.